This is a long non-coding RNA of Corticium candelabrum, 765 nucleotides long. RefSeq lists it as uncharacterized. Lineage: Eukaryota; Metazoa; Porifera; Homoscleromorpha; Homosclerophorida; Plakinidae. The record is from RefSeq and is a predicted model, not a curated record. The transcript is spliced from 5 exons.
CAAACCUUCACGUAUGUAGCAAUGGAAUGUAUCAGGUUAGCGAAACCGCCGAAGCGUGAAUCUAGUGGACGAAUAGAGACUAGUGAAUCAUGCCGAGUGCGAGACAGUCGAGGAAGAGACUUAGAAAUGAGUCGGAUCAAGCCUCUCACUUUGUAGUAGAGUGACUAGAGUCUGACGCAGGACAUUGAGUGUCGUUCCCAGAAGGAAGAUUGUUUCCGAUCCUCCUCUAGACGUGGGAACAAAGGUUCUGGUUAGAUUUACAACCAGGAAGGGUCACACGAAGGAAGAGCUUGCUGUGCUAGAGUGGAGGUCGAAAGAGGCCAUGGAAGCCAGCUUGGACCGCAUGAUGAACCAAGUGGAGCUAGAUACAUCUCGGAACAAAGCCCAAAGCAGAGCUUGGGCCCCUGAGUUUUUUAGAAUGUUUGACCAAGAAAUAUAGUCAAUCAUUUUUAAAAGAUUCUAUGAACGCAAUUCAGCAGUCACUUAAUCAGAAGUGCCGGGAUGCUGCUAGCUCAAGAAGACAGAAAUUGAAGAGUUGUUCGAAAGAAGAGAUCUCACCCAGAAGUCUUUGUGUUUUUCAAGUGAGGAGGAUUGACAUUUGACUAUGUAGUAGAAAUUGCAAGUGCAUGGGUAUAUACUUUAUAGCUAUAUGAUGAUUAAGAUCCUCGAAGAUCUUGAAAAGAAUAAUUGCAAGUUCUUAAAAGAUUGUACAUGUGCCAAUUAGUGAACACACAAGUUCUUAGAAUUGCCACCAAAUUAAUUGUC